GAUUAGCCAUGCGAGUCUAAAGGUUUCUUCGGAAGCCUUGGCGGACUGCUCAGUAACACGUGGAUAACCUGCCCUUAGGUCUGGCAUAACCCCGGGAAACUGGGGAUAAUACCGGAUAGAUCAGGGGUCGCUGGAAUGCGCCCUGAUCCAAAGCUCCGGCGCCUAAGGAUGGGUCUGCGACCUAUCAGGUUGUAGUGGGUGUAAUGUACCUACUAGCCGACGACGGGUACAGGUUGUGAGAGCAAGAGCCCGGAGAUGGAUUCUGAGACACGAAUCCAGGCCCCACGGGGUGCAGCAGGCGCGAAACCUUUACAAUGUGCGAAAGCAUGAUAAGGGAACUCCGAGUGCCAGCAUUAAAUGUUGGCUGUCCUUGUGCCUAAAACGCACAAGAUAGCAAGGGCCGGGUAAGACCGGUGCCAGCCGCCGCGGUAACACCGGCGGCCCGAGUGGUAGUCGCUAUUAUUGGGUCUAAAGGGUCCGUAGCCGGUUUGAUAAGUCCUCUGGGAAAUCUGAUUGCUCAACAAUCAGGCUGCCAAGGGAUACUGUCAAACUUGAGACCGGGAGAGGUAAGAGGUACUUCAAGGGUAGGAGUGAAAUCUUAUAAUCCUUGGGGGACCGUCUGUGGCGAAGGCGUCUUACCAGAACGGGUCUGACGGUGAGGGACGAAAGCUGGGGGCGCGAACCGGAUUAGAUACCCGGGUAGUCCCAGCCGUAAACGAUGCUCGCUAUGUGUCAGAUACGGUGCGACCGUAUCUGGUGCCGUAGGGAAGCCGUGAAGCGAGCCACCUGGGAAGUACGGCCGCAAGGCUGAAACUAAAGGAAUUGGCGGGGAGCACUACAACGGUGAGC
Molecule: ribosomal RNA, 849 nt
Filed under: uncultured Methanosarcinales archaeon
Lineage: Archaea; Methanobacteriati; Methanobacteriota; Methanomicrobia; Methanosarcinales
Description: bacterial SSU rRNA
Rfam family: Archaeal small subunit ribosomal RNA
Source: RNAcentral